RNAcentral lists this unclassified non-coding RNA (281 nucleotides) under plant metagenome. RNAcentral's name for it is "partial contains small subunit ribosomal RNA, internal transcribed spacer 1, and 5.8S ribosomal RNA". The record is from RNAcentral.
UUUCCGUAGGUGAGCCUGCGGAAGGAUCAUUAUUGUAUAACCGAGGUGCGAGGGCUGUCGCUGAGCCGAAAGGUCGUGCACGCCCGAGUGCCCUCACACACAUCCAUCUCACCCCUAUGUGCACCACCGCGUGGGUCCCCCUUUGGCUUGUUCGGAGGGGGGCUUACGUUUUCACACAAACUUUGUAUGCAGUGUAGAAUGUAUUUUUUGUUUUUGCGAUCACGCAAUCAAUACAACUUUCAACAACGGAUCUCUUGGCUCUCGCAUCGAUAGAACGCAGC